Molecule: RNA transcript, 2965 nt
Organism: Juglans microcarpa x Juglans regia
Lineage: Eukaryota; Viridiplantae; Streptophyta; Magnoliopsida; Fagales; Juglandaceae
Gene name: protein STRUBBELIG-RECEPTOR FAMILY 7-like
Exons: 17
Source: RefSeq, a predicted model, not a curated record
UUAUGUGGCUUUGGAUUCUUCUGGAAAUUUGUGCCUGCCAGCUUUUCUCGGGCACUGGCUGCAAAUGUAGGAUUACAAUGUACAAUCUGUCUUAAGUAAAGGUAAAAGGAAAAGAAAGAGAGAGCAUUUAGGUGGGAUAAUUCUGGGCUCAGAGAGAGAGAGAGAGAGAGAGAGAGAGAGAGAGAUGUUGGAGAAUUGGAGAGUGGCGGCAGUGGUCUUCAGCCUCUGCAUUUUGGGACCGAGGCCCAGUUCCGUUGAUGCUGCCACAGACCCAUCAGAAGCUGCUGCUCUGAGGGACAUGUAUAGCAGUUUAAAUUCUCCUCCUCAGCUAACCCAAUGGAGUUCAACUGGUGAUGACCCAUGUGGGCAGUCUUGGAAAGGCGUUACUUGCACAGGCUCACGAGUGACAGAAAUUAAAUUGUCUGGGCUUGGACUUUCUGGAUCGAUGGGGUACCAUCUCUCAAGUUUGACCAUGUUAACCAACCUAGACAUGAGCAAUAAUAAUCUUGCAGGCGAGAUACCUUAUUCACUUCCUCCAAAUGUGUCACAACUGAAUCUUGCUUAUAAUACAUUUAAUAAAGGCGUCCCUUAUUCCAUUUCUCAGAUGGCUUCUCUUAAAUACCUAAACAUCAGUCACAAUCAACUACAGGAACAACUGUUUGACGCCUUUGGACAACUUUCUUCUCUCUCUACAUUGGAUCUUUCAUUCAAUUCUCUGCCGGGAAACCUCCCACAGAGUUUCAGCUCCCUCUCAAGUAUGACCUCAAUGUAUUUGCAAAACAACCUGUUUACAGGCAAUAUUGAUGUCCUUGCCAAUCUUCCCCUGGAGAAUCUGAAUAUUGAAAAUAACCAUUUCACUGGCUGGAUUCCUGAACAAUUGCAAAACAUUAAUCUGCAGAAAAAUGGAAAUUCAUGGAGCUCAGAGCCUGCACCCCCGCCUCCACCUGGUACACCUCCAGCCAGAAAAAGACCAAAUCACAAAUCUGGUGGCAAUGAAAGCCCAUCAGAUGGUUCGGGAGGUGGCAACAAACCAGGAAUAGGAGGUGGUGGCAUAGCAGGAAUAGUCAUAUCCAUCUUUAUUGUUGGGGCAAUAGUUGCAUUCUUUUUAAUGAAGAGAAGAUCCAGGAGGCCAUUGUCAGAUAUUGAGAAGCUUGAUAAUCAGCCCUUUGCUCCUCUUGCUUCAAUUGAAGUCCAAGAAAUGAAGGCGGUACAAACUUCUUCCGUAAUCAAGACACAUUCUUUUGAUACUAAUGCCUCAAUAAAUCUUAGACCCCCACCCAUCGAUCGUCACAAAUCAUUUGAUGAAGAUUGUUUUCCCCAGAAGCCUAUUGUUGCCAAGAAAGCUAACAUAGCUCCUAUAAAUGCAACGUCAUAUUCAGUAGCAGACCUGCAGAUGGCUACUGACAGCUUCAGUGUAGAAAACCUUCUGGGUGAGGGGUCUUUUGGACGUGUUUAUCAAGGUCGAUUUGAUGACGGGAAGAUUCUUGCUGUGAAGAAAAUAGAUUCAUCUGCCCUUCCUGCUGAAUUGUCAGAAGAAUUCACAGAGAUGGUUUCAAACAUCUCCCAGCUGCAUCAUCAAAAUAUAGCAGAGCUAGUUGGUUAUUGUUCAGAGCAUGGGCACCAUCUGCUAGUUUAUGAGUUCCAUAAAAGUGGCUCACUUCAUGACUUCCUUCAUCUAUAUGAUGAUUACAGCAAACCGUUGACGUGGAACUCCCGCGUCAAGAUUGCUUUGGGGAUUGCACGUGCAUUGGAGUACCUACAUGAAGUUUGCUCUCCAUCUGUAGUUCACAAGAAUAUCAAGUCAGCCAACAUUUUGCUGGAUGCAGAACUGAAUCCUCACCUGUCAGACUCUGGCCUAGGAAGCCUUGUCCCAAAUGCAGAUCAGAUUUUGAGCCGGAAUGCAGGAUCUGGAUAUAGUGCAACUGAGGUUGCCAUGUCUGGUCAGUAUACUCUUAAGAGUGAUGUUUACAGUUUCGGAGUGGUGAUGUUGGAGCUUCUUAGCGGGCGCAAACCAUUUGAUAGCACAAGGCCAAGAUCUGAGCAGUCCUUGGUUCGAUGGGCAACACCUCAGCUCCAUGAUAUUGAUGCUCUUGGAAAAAUGGUUGAUCCCGCCCUUAAAGGGCUCUACCCAGUUAAAUCUCUCUCACGGUUUGCUGAUGUCAUUGCACUUUGCAUCCAGCUGGAGCCUGAGUUUCGACCACCUAUGUCAGAAGUGGUUCAAGCGCUUGUUCGUUUAGUGCAACGAACGAACAUGAGUAAGAGAACAAUUGCAAAUGACCUAGGAGCAUCCCAAAGAGCCGUCAACUCAGACACGCACGAGUGAAUCCAUGCCUCCAACAUCUGCAAAAUUCUUCUUUGAUAAAACAGAGCAGAAACGGCAAAGUUUUUUGGUUUUUCUUCUUUUUCUUUCAUUUUUUCUUUUUACUCCCUGAAUGGAGCUUGUACAUACCAGUUAUUUAGCCUGCUGCACCAUUUGUUACCAGAAUUGAGCUGAACUUGUAGCUGUCCAUGUUGCUAUCCAAAAGUGAUAUGGACCAUACAAAAGUGUAUCUCCAUGCAAGUCAUGUUCAUAGGAAUUGAGUUUAUUUACGACUUUCUCAAGGCGACAAAUCGAGGGUAUCUCCAUCAAGAUUACUCAUGCAACCCUACUGCACUUAAAUUAAGCAUAGUCAACAAGAUUUGCCACAUUGUUGGUUUUUGGCCGCAGGUUUCAACUUUUUCUAUUUCAUCCUCCAUGUCGGUUUCACGUUCGAUUUUUUUACUCUCGACUUUUCUGUUGCUUCGUGGGAUUCGAUUUUGAUAUUUACCAUGCAGGGGUUUCAAUUUUUGCCUAUGCCCCAUAGAAAAUGGUGCGGACGAAUUUAAAAUGGUCAGAUCACAGAUCAAAGGGCUAGAAAAGGCUUACAUAUUUCUCGUAGUUGUGGGUUGCAGCUAUUCCACAACCAAGGAAUGAACAUUCACAGCA